This is a small nuclear RNA of Peromyscus californicus insignis, 111 nucleotides long. NCBI's taxonomy places the organism in Eukaryota, Metazoa, Chordata, Mammalia, Rodentia, Cricetidae. The record is from RefSeq and is a predicted model, not a curated record.
UCAAUUCAGCAGCACACAUAUUAAAAUUGGAAAAUUGGAAUGAUACAGAGAACAUUAGCAUAACCCCUGAACAAGGAUAACACACAAAUUCAUGAAGAAUUGGAUAUUAUU